This 1388-nucleotide ribosomal RNA is filed under the name uncultured bacterium. RNAcentral describes it as "16S ribosomal RNA". It matches the Rfam family "Bacterial small subunit ribosomal RNA". The record is from RNAcentral.
UUCGCCCUUAGAGUUUGAUCCUGGCUCAGGACGAACGCUGGCGGCGUGCUUAACACAUGCAAGUCGAACGAGGUAAACGGCUUCGGCUGUUUACCGAGUGGCGGACGGGUGAGUAACGCGUGAGCAAUCUGUCCUGCAAGGGGGGAUAACAACUGGAAACAGUUGCUAAUACCGCAUAUGACCACGAUCCCGCAUGGGAUUGAGGUGAAAGCAGCAAUGCGAUGCAGGGUGAGCUCGCGUCCCAUUAGGCAGUUGGUGAGGUAACGGCCCACCAAACCUACGAUGGGUAGCCGACCUGAGAGGGUGAUCGGCCACAUUGGGACUGAGACACGGCCCAGACUCCUACGGGAGGCAGCAGUGGGGAAUAUUGGGCAAUGGGCGCAAGCCUGACCCAGCAACGCCGCGUGAGGGAUGAAGGUUUUCGGAUUGUAAACCUCUGUCCUUGGUGACGAACGCAAUGACGGUAGCCAAGGAGGAAGCCCCGGCUAACUACGUGCCAGCAGCCGCGGUAAUACGUAGGGGGCGAGCGUUGUCCGGAAUGACUGGGCGUAAAGGGCGUGUAGGCGGCACUGUAAGUCUGGAGUGAAAGUCCUGCUUUCAAGGUGGGAAUUGCUUUGGAGACUGCAGAGCUUGAGUACAGAAAGGGUAAGCGGAAUUCCCGGUGUAGCGGUGAAAUGCGUAGAGAUCGGGAGGAACACCAGUGGCGAAGGCGGCUUACUGGGCUGUAACUGACGCUGAGGCGCGAAAGCGUGGGGAGCAAACAGGAUUAGAUACCCUGGUAGUCCACGCGGUAAACGAUGAAUGCUAGGUGUAGGGGGUAUCGACCCCUCCUGCGCCGCAGUUAACACAAUAAGCAUUCCGCCUGGGGAGUACGGCCGCAAGGUUGAAACUCAAAGGAAUUGACGGGGGCCCGCACAAGCAGCGGAGCAUGUGGUUUAAUUCGACGCAACGCGAAGAACCUUACCAAGUCUUGACAUCCAGUUAAGCCUGUAGAAAUACAGAGUGCCUUCGGGCAAACUGAGACAGGUGGUGCAUGGUUGUCGUCAGCUCGUGUCGUGAGAUGUUGGGUUAAGUCCCGCAACGAGCGCAACCCUUAUUGUCAGUUACUAACAGGCAAUGCUGAGGACUCUGACGAGACUGCCGGGGAUAACUCGGAGGAAGGUGGGGACGACGUCAAAUCAUCAUGCCCCUUAUGACUUGGGCUACACACGUGCUACAAUGGUGGUUACAAAGAGAAGCGAACCCGUAAGAGCAAGCGAAUCUCAAAAAAGCCAUCUCAGUUCGGACUGUGGGCUGCAACCCGCCCACACGAAGUUGGAGUUGCUAGUAAUCGCGAAUCAGAACGUCGCGGUGAAUACGUUCCCGGGCCUUGCACACACCGCCCGUCA